RNAcentral lists this ribosomal RNA (895 nucleotides) under uncultured bacterium. RNAcentral's name for it is "bacterial SSU rRNA". It matches the Rfam family "Bacterial small subunit ribosomal RNA", at positions 54 to 948 of the family's 1533-position model. The record is from RNAcentral.
CAUGCAAGUCGAGCGAAGCGCUUUGCUUAGAUUCUUCGGAUGAAGAGGAUUGUGACUGAGCGGCGGACGGGUGAGUAACGCGUGGGUAACCUGCCUCAUACAGGGGGAUAACAGUUAGAAAUGACUGCUAAUACCGCAUAAGACCACAGCACCGCAUGGUGCGGGGGGUAAAAACUCCGGUGGUAUGAGAUGGACCCGCGUCUGAUUAGCUAGUUGGUAAGGUAACGGCUUACCAAGGCGACGAUCAGUAGCCGACCUGAGAGGGUGACCGGCCACAUUGGGACUGAGACACGGCCCAAACUCCUACGGGAGGCAGCAGUGGGGAAUAUUGCACAAUGGGGGAAACCCUGAUGCAGCGACGCCGCGUGAGCGAAGAAGUAUUUCGGUAUGUAAAGCUCUAUCAGCAGGGAAGAAAAUGACGGUACCUGACUAAGAAGCACCGGCUAAAUACGUGCCAGCAGCCGCGGUAAUACGUAUGGUGCAAGCGUUAUCCGGAUUUACUGGGUGUAAAGGGAGCGUAGACGGAUGGGCAAGUCUGAUGUGAAAACCCGGGGCUCAACCCCGGGACUGCAUUGGAAACUGUUCAUCUAGAGUGCUGGAGAGGUAAGUGGAAUUCCUAGUGUAGCGGUGAAAUGCGUAGAUAUUAGGAGGAACACCAGUGGCGAAGGCGGCUUACUGGACAGUAACUGACGUUGAGGCUCGAAAGCGUGGGGAGCAAACAGGAUUAGAUACCCUGGUAGUCCACGCCGUAAACGAUGACUACUAGGUGUCGGGUGGCAAAGCCAUUCGGUGCCGCAGCAAACGCAAUAAGUAGUCCACCUGGGGAGUACGUUCGCAAGAAUGAGACUCAAAGGAAUUGACGGGGACCCGCACAAGCGGUGGAGCAUGUGGUUUA